CCUACGGGUGGCAGCAGUGAGGAAUAUUGGUCAAUGGACGAGAGUCUGAACCAGCCAAGUAGCGUGAAGGAUGACUGCCCUAUGGGUUGUAAACUUCUUUUAUAUGGGAAUAAAAUGUUCCACGUGUGGGAUUUUGUAUGUACCAUAUGAAUAAGGAUCGGCUAACUCCGUGCCAGCAGCCGCGGUAAUAAGGAGGAUCCGAGCGUUAUCCGGAUUUAUUGGGUUUAAAGGGAGCGUAGGUGGAUGGUUAAGUCAGUUGUGAAAGUUUGCGGCUCAACCGUAAAAUUGCAGUUGAAACUGGCAGUCUUGAGUACAGUAGAGGUGGGCGGAAUUCGUGGUGUAGCGGUGAAAUGCUUAGAUAUCACGAAGAACUCCGAUUGCGAAGGCAGUUCACUGGACUGCAACUGACACUGAGGCUCGAAAGUGUGGGUAUCAAACAGGAUUAGAUACCCGAGUAGUC
Molecule: ribosomal RNA, 460 nt
Filed under: uncultured bacterium
Lineage: Bacteria
Description: partial 16S ribosomal RNA
Rfam family: Bacterial small subunit ribosomal RNA
Source: RNAcentral